This 250-nucleotide ribosomal RNA is filed under the name uncultured bacterium. Its description in RNAcentral is "partial small subunit ribosomal RNA". It matches the Rfam family "Bacterial small subunit ribosomal RNA", at positions 26 to 288 of the family's 1533-position model. The record is from RNAcentral.
AGGACGAACGCUGGCGGCGUGCUUAACACAUGCAAGUCGAACGAGGUGCUUCGGGCACUUAGUGGCGAACGGGUGAGUAACACGUGGGCAACCUGCCCUUGGCUCUGGGGUAGCCCCCGGAAACGGGGAUUAAUACCGGACAUGACCUUUUCCUGCAUGGGGGAGGGUGGAAAGUUUUUCGGCCAGGGAGGGGCUCGCGGCCUAUCAGCUUGUUGGGGGGGUAACGCCCACAAGGCGACGACGGGUAGCC